Long non-coding RNA from Doryrhamphus excisus (bluestripe pipefish), 1699 nucleotides. RefSeq lists it as uncharacterized. NCBI's taxonomy places the organism in Eukaryota, Metazoa, Chordata, Actinopteri, Syngnathiformes, Syngnathidae. The record is from RefSeq and is a predicted model, not a curated record.
UCCCUUGCUGUUUCGGUAAACAAGCCACUGGCAAGUCAUUAACUAAAAAAAAACAAGGCGUCCAGCAGAAACAAAAGAAUAGUUGUGUCACACGCUGUCAUGGAAGCAAUCAGCUGCCAUUCGUCUUGCUGAUUCUCUCCCAAAAUGUCUACAUACAGAAAUCACUCCAGGUCCCCGGCAUAAUGAUUUACGAUGAAUCUGUGUCAAUGUUGAACUCGGCAAACCCCACGUAAUCCAUCUUGUAGAUGUACCUUGCAACCCCGCCCCGCCUCGCCUGCUCUGGUGAAGCCGUGCCUUGCCUGGGCCAUGGGAAGGCGAGGAGGAGGCGUAGACGUCAUCGGUGAAGAGGAAAGAAGAAGAGUGGUGAGAGGGUUGAUCGGCACUUCAAAACAGAGAGUGGUAGCUGUCACACACGCCAACGUUGCGUGUAUUUCUUCAUGAGACGUGACAGUCACCGGACAUUUUAUAAGGACCCACUCCUGAGGUUUGGGAAAUUGGGGCGAAGUUCUUCUUGAAAGAAGUUGAGCAACACUUGACUCCUUUUCAAACAAACAUAUUUGAGGUGUGAGACAAAGAGCUAAUUUAAUUGCAAGAGCUGGUGGCGGCGGUGCAGGCAGGUAGGUAAUUGAAAUCAUCCCAUUAAGGAAUUCCAUUAUGAAUUGCUGAUUAGGGCCACACGUGAUUACCGUGGACAAAGACAUUUUUACAUUUUUUUCUUUAAGUUUCUGCAUUGCUUGAUAUACUUACAAAAAAGGUGCGGAGAAGGAGAGUAAACAUCGUGGUAAAAAGUCAGAUUUUCUUCAGCAGAAUUUAGUAGGAAUUUGUACCAAUUUUAAUUUAAUUACUAUUUAAUGAGUCAUUGUCUAUUUUUACAUUUUUAUUUCGAUCAAGUUUACGGAAGCCCUUAUUGUGGAAUGUGUUGCUCCUGACUUCUACCUUCUACCACAAGUUCCAAUGCAGUCGAGCUCCUACCGCAAAAAUGUUAUGCUUUUUCCACUUUUAUGACAUAUAAAUGUAGUUAGAAUCUUAUAUUCUCAUGUUAAAAGAUUCAGAUAAUGUUUUUUGCGCCUUUGGAAGUGAGCUUUGAAAGAAAUUUGGGAUGGCUCAAAAGGCUCGGUUUCAGAAGGCGUGGUAAAACUGCCCCAUUGUGAUGUCACAGAGGAGCGGACUUCCUUAUAUGGGCAUGGCUGUAAGCCAGAUAAGCUCUCUGCCCUCCACCAAGCUCUGCUUCUCUCUUUACAUUAGCUAGCACUGGCUCAUACAGGAACGCCACAUUUGUUUACAAUUCUUAAAGACACCACAACUGAAUAGGUGAAGAUUCUGGAAGAACUAGAAAGCUUUGUGUGCUGGUUAUUGUGUGUAGCUGCUCUAUAGGAGUCCACAACUCAAUAGAAAGACGAGUAGACAAAUUGCAAGAAUGUACCUUCUGCACUGUUGGAUGGUUGUAAGCAGAGCUUCAAAUAGCCAAAAGAAGAAAGUAGUAAGAACGUAAAUACAUUCUUGCAAAUUUUUAACCGGUUUUAAAAUUUUGACCAGGUGUGCGUAGCCUCUAUCCUAGUGGAGCCAUGUUUGUUGCGGAGUAUGCCAGCCAUGAUUAUGGAGUAUUUUGUUCAUAUAUGUGCUAUAUUAGUACAGGGUUUUGUCCACCAUGUUUAUGGAAUGUGUUGCAUGUCAGCCAUGUUUGUGGAGUGUGCUGCAG